Molecule: ribosomal RNA, 491 nt
Filed under: uncultured bacterium
Lineage: Bacteria
Description: partial 16S ribosomal RNA
Rfam family: Bacterial small subunit ribosomal RNA
Source: RNAcentral
AGUGAACGCUGGCGGUAGGCCUAACACAUGCAAGUCGAACGGCAGCACAGUAAGAGCUUGCUCUUACGGGUGGCGAGUGGCGGACGGGUGAGGAAUACAUCGGAAUCUACUUUUUCGUGGGGGAUAACGUAGGGAAACUUACGCUAAUACCGCAUACGACCUACGGGUGAAAGCAGGGGAUCUUCGGACCUUGCGCGAUUGAAUGAGCCGAUGUCGGAUUAGCUAGUUGGCGGGGUAAAGGCCCACCAAGGCGACGAUCCGUAGCUGGUCUGAGAGGAUGUUCAGCCCCCCUGGACCUGAGACACGGUCCAGACUCCUACGGGCGGCAGCAGUGGGGAAUAUUGGACAAUGGGCGCAAGCCUGAUCCAGCCAUACCGCGUGGGUGAAGAAGGCCUUCGGGUUGUAAAGCCCUUUUGUUGGGAAAGAAAAGCAGCAGGUUAAUACCCCGCUGUUCUGACGGUACCCAAAGAAUAAACACCGGCGAACUUCAG